UACUAACAUCAUAAUAUGCAUUAUACAUUUAAUCAAGGUUUAUCUACAUGUAUGCAUGCAUCAAAAGUCCACAAAAUAAUCUAAACAUAACAUAUACAUCACUUAGAUAUAUGGACAUAUCUACCAGCAACUGAAAGAAUAAUUUUCUUUUUAUUAUCAUUUGGAGAAUUAUUUUCUAAACAUGAAAAAUGGCAUAAAUUCUUCCCACAGAAGAAGUGAAUAUGCAGUGUUCCUUACAUGGUCUUAAGUUUCAGAACAGACUCAAAUCAUUGAAGGAGUUUGACAAAUAAGCACAUUAUCAGAUAGAAACGGUCCAAGGCAUAGGCUAAGUUUAAGGUGAAAUCAUUCGCUAAACUUGCAAGUUAUAAGCUCCCGAGCUUUACAAUCAAGAGUGGUUACUUAAGUUCAUCCACUUGUCAAUUGAAUGGCAUUCUGGUUGCUAUUUGCAGUCAUAAUUAGCUAUAUCUGCAGUUAUAUAUCCAUUCAACAUCUUAUCAGUCAAAAAAAACAGACUGAUGGUUACUGCAAAGGUGAAUGAAGACCCUUAUUAUUUAUUAACAAAACUAUGUUAAUUCAAAUGUCAACAAUGAAUGGGAUGUGAAAGUGCAGGUAGUACAACACAUUAUCAUUACAUAGCUUCUUCCACAUUUUCAUAUUAAUCUGCAUUAACAUAAUGAGCAUUUGUCAUUAGCUCUCUACAUCCCAAAGUGUUUAUUUCCCGGAUAGUAACUCAGAGAGAAAUAAAAGGAUACAGUUGCAUAGAAAGAGUUUCCAGGCUCUUCAGUUCUUCAUUCAAUCUGUGGUAAACGAUAUAAAGAAUUUCAGCAAACUUUUGUAAUAAUAAUUGCAGCAGAUCGAUGAGAAUUAUUUACUACAGAAAAGUAACCUGAUUAUGCCAAAAAACCUAAGAAAAAAGGUUAUACUUUUCGAGAGAGAGAGAGAGAGAGAGAGAGAG
RNAcentral lists this long non-coding RNA (955 nucleotides) under Phoenix dactylifera (date palm). RNAcentral describes it as "long non-coding RNA (PDAC_LNC016794)". Lineage: Eukaryota; Viridiplantae; Streptophyta; Magnoliopsida; Arecales; Arecaceae. The record is from RNAcentral.